RNAcentral lists this ribosomal RNA (1341 nucleotides) under uncultured bacterium. RNAcentral describes it as "16S ribosomal RNA". It matches the Rfam family "Bacterial small subunit ribosomal RNA", at positions 28 to 1381 of the family's 1533-position model. The record is from RNAcentral.
GACGAACGCUGGCGGCGUGCUUAACACAUGCAAGUCGAACGGUAAGGCUCCAGCUUGCUGGGGUACACGAGUGGCGAACGGGUGAGUAACACGUGGGUGACCUGCCCUGCACUUCGGGAUAAGCCUGGGAAACUGGGUCUAAUACCGGAUAGGACCGCACCGUGAGGGUGUGGUGGAAAGUUUUUUCGGUGUGGGAUGGGCCCGCGGCCUAUCAGCUUGUUGGUGGGGUAAUGGCCUACCAAGGCGGCGACGGGUAGCCGGCCUGAGAGGGUGGACGGCCACAUUGGGACUGAGACACGGCCCAGACUCCUACGGGAGGCAGCAGUGGGGAAUAUUGCACAAUGGGCGGAAGCCUGAUGCAGCGACGCCGCGUGGGGGAUGACGGCCUUCGGGUUGUAAACUCCUUUCACCAUCGACGAAGGGUUUCUGACGGUAGAUGGAGAAGAAGCACCGGCUAACUACGUGCCAGCAGCCGCGGUAAUACGUAGGGUGCGAGCGUUGUCCGGAAUUACUGGGCGUAAAGAGCUCGUAGGUGGUUUGUCGCGUCGUCUGUGAAAUUCCGGGGCUUAACUCCGGGCGUGCAGGCGAUACGGGCAUAACUUGAGUGCUGUAGGGGAGACUGGAAUUCCUGGUGUAGCGGUGAAAUGCGCAGAUAUCAGGAGGAACACCGGUGGCGAAGGCGGGUCUCUGGGCAGUAACUGACGCUGAGGAGCGAAAGCAUGGGGAGCGAACAGGAUUAGAUACCCUGGUAGUCCAUGCCGUAAACGGUGGGCGCUAGGUGUGGGUUUCCUUCCACGGGAUCCGUGCCGUAGCUAACGCAUUAAGCGCCCCGCCUGGGGAGUACGGCCGCAAGGCUAAAACUCAAAGGAAUUGACGGGGGCCCGCACAAGCGGCGGAGCAUGUGGAUUAAUUCGAUGCAACGCGAAGAACCUUACCUGGGCUUGACAUAUACAGGAUCGCGCCAGAGAUGGUGUUUCCCUUGUGGCUUGUAUACAGGUGGUGCAUGGUUGUCGUCAGCUCGUGUCGUGAGAUGUUGGGUUAAGUCCCGCAACGAGCGCAUCCCUUGUCUUAUGUUGCCAGCACGUUGUGGUGGGGACUCGUAAGAAACUGCCGGGGUUAACUCGGAGGAAGGUGGGGAUGACGUCAAAUCAUCAUGCCCCUUAUGUCCAGGGCUUCACACAUGCUACAAUGGUCGGUACAGUGGGUUGCCAGUCCGUGAGGGCGAGCUAAUCCCGCAAAGCCGGUCUCAGUUCGGAUCGGGGUCUGCAACUCGACCCCGUGAAGUCGGAGUCGCUAGUAAUCGCAGAUCAGCAACGCUGCGGUGAAUACGUUCCCGGGCCU